GAUGAACGCUGGCGGCGUGCCUAAUACAUGCCAGUCGAGCGAACAGACGAGGAGCUUGCUCCUCUGACGUUAGCGGCGGACGGGUGAGUAACACGUGGAUAACCUACCUAUAAGACUGGGAUAACUUCGGGAAACCGGAGCUAAUACCGGAUAAUAUAUUGAACCGCAUGGUUCAAUAGUGAAGUCGGUUUUGCUGGCACUUAUUGGUGGAUUCGCGCCGCAUUAGCUAGUUGGUAAGGUAACGGCUUACCAAGGCAACGAUGCGUAGCCGACCUGAGAGGGUGAUCGGCCACACUGGAACUGAGACACGGUCCAGACUCCUACGGGAGGCAGCAGUAGGGAAUCUUCCGCAAUGGGCGAAAGCUUGACGGAGCAACGCCGCGUGAGUGAUGAAGGUCUUCGGAUCGUAAAACUCUGUUAUUAGGGAAGAACAAAUGUGUAAGUAACUAUGCACGUCUUGACGGUACCUAAUCAGAAAGCCACGGCUAACUACGUG
RNAcentral lists this ribosomal RNA (496 nucleotides) under uncultured bacterium. RNAcentral describes it as "partial 16S ribosomal RNA". It matches the Rfam family "Bacterial small subunit ribosomal RNA", at positions 28 to 507 of the family's 1533-position model. The record is from RNAcentral.